This 454-nucleotide ribosomal RNA is filed under the name uncultured organism. Its description in RNAcentral is "SSU rRNA". It matches the Rfam family "Eukaryotic small subunit ribosomal RNA", at positions 386 to 852 of the family's 1831-position model. The record is from RNAcentral.
CGGAGAGGGAGCCUGAGAAACGGCUACCACAUCCAAGGAAGGCAGCAGGCGCGUAAAUUACCCAAUCCUGAUACAGGGAGGUAGUGACAAUAAAUAACAAUGCCGGGCCAUCAUUGGUCUGGCAAUUGGAAUGAGAACAAUUUAAAUCCCUUAUCGAGGAUCAAUUGGAGGGCAAGUCUGGUGCCAGCAGCCGCGGUAAUUCCAGCUCCAAUAGCGUAUAUUAAAGUUGUUGCAGUUAAAAAGCUCGUAGUUGGAUUUGUGGCGUACGGUGUGUUCCGGGCACUUGUUGUCUGAGUAACCUGCCGUUGCCAUCCUUGGGUGGAACCUGUGUGGCAUUAGGUUGUCGUGCAGGGGAUGCCCAUCGUUUACUGUGAAAAAAUUABAGUGUUCAAAACAGGCUUAUGCCGUUGAAUAUAUUAGCAUGGAAUAAUGASAUMGGACUUUUUCGCUAUUU